AUCGGUCUCUCUCCAUGUUUAUUCUUUAUUUCUCUUUUUUUUUUGCAGACAGAACACAUGCGUGCAAUUUAUUUAUUCAGCUUCAGUAACCACCUUAUCCUAGUUGGAGUCACACUGGAACUGGAGCCUAUACCAGGCCACACUAGAUACCUACAGAUCAGCAUCUCCUGACUGGAAAUGGCCUCCAAGACCCUAACCAGUCUGGCUUCAGAGCGGCAUACGCCAUAGAAUUUACCCUUAUGGUUGUUACGAAGAAGCUUCAUGUCCUCUUCUCCUUGACCUUUCAUCGUCCAAUCACAAGUCUGGGAUUUCCUUGUCUUGAAAUUAGUGGGACAGCAUGGUGAUGGUUCGCUUCUUAUUUGGCAGGACUGUCAUAUCAGAAACUCGCAGAUCUCAGCAUGUUGGGCAGACAUCUUCCCAAGGAUGGGAGCUCAUCACUUGACACUUAAUCCCAGCAAGACUGUGUUGCUGUACAGUCCCUCCAGGAUUUCACGAUUUUGUGACUGCAGGAAUGAAUGCGAAAUGAAGUAAACGUCGCAGGUUUUCUAAUGUACCACAGAU
This is a long non-coding RNA of Ictalurus punctatus (channel catfish), 561 nucleotides long. Lineage: Eukaryota; Metazoa; Chordata; Actinopteri; Siluriformes; Ictaluridae. The record is from Ensembl.